This 5454-nucleotide long non-coding RNA is filed under the name Zea mays. Its description in RNAcentral is "long non-coding RNA (ZMAY_LNC005612)". Lineage: Eukaryota; Viridiplantae; Streptophyta; Magnoliopsida; Poales; Poaceae. The record is from RNAcentral.
GUGACAGUAUGGAUGUUGAGAUCGCGAACACCGCUCCCGGUGUUCUCCUCCUCUCACGAAGAUCGAAUUUAGGUAGAGAAUUCAGAGUAGGGUAUUACAACGACAGAGCGUCGCCUUCCUUCCGGUCGCAGCCGGCCAAAUGGUGUCUUCCGACAUAACCCUCUCCACGCAGUGUUGCACCCCCUCAAAUACCAACAGCGUAUCUCUCAGGAAAAUUAAGAAACGAAACCACUACUGGGUCCAUUUUGGCCCACUCACUCUAUCAUUGGGCUUUCGAAUUCUCUGCGGCCUUCCUUUCAAGUUAGGAUCCUCUGGUAUUGUGACAUUCUCCCCUCCUUGAGACAAGGCUUGUCCCCAAGCCGUAAAUUCUGGAAAUCGGAGCUUGAUUGUAGCCUCAUCUUCCCACGUUGCCAACUCUUCCGGCCAGGAGGACCAUUUGAUUAACAGCUGCGGGACAUCUCCAGACGGGUGCCGAAUGAUCCUGCGCUGCAAAACAUUCUCUGGUUUUUGGGAGGAAUCUGAAACAGAUGGUAGUGUAGGACUCACCUGGACGUGAGGUCCCAAUGCCUUCUUGAGAAGCGAGACAUGGAAUACUGGAUGAAUGUGGCAAGAUUCUGGCAAGCGUAGUUUGUAAGCAACAGAGCCAACCUUUUCGAUCACUGGGUAAGGGCCGAAAAAUUUGAAUGCCAGUUUGUGGUUCGCGCGACGGACCAAGGAUGCCUGAACAUAAGGCUGCAGUUUGAGGUAGACCCAGUCACCAAUCUGAAAGGUGCGUUCAGUGCGAUUUUUGUCAGCCUGUGCCUUCUGACGGAGUUGAGCUCGAACGAGUUGCUGUUGGACCAGUUGAAUUACCAUCUUUCUUUCAUCAAGCCAAGAUUGCAAGCAGGGCACUUCGCAUGCUGUUCUGAAAUCCACCCCUAGAUGGCGUGGAGGGUAACCAUACAACACUUCAAAUGGCAUGAGUUUCAAGGAAGUGUGAUAGCUAGUAUUGUACCAAUACUCGGCUAAGGACAGCCAUUUCUUCCAUUUAGUAGGACAGGCUUGAACAAAACAGCGAAGGUAAGUUUCAAGGCAUUGAUUGACUCGCUCAGUUUGACCGUCAGAUUGGGGAUGGUACGCUGUGGUGAAUCGUAAUUCCACUCCGGCUAACUUGAACAAUUCUUUCCAUAAAGCACUAGUGAAAAUCCGAUCACGGUCAGUCACUAUAGAUGAAGGAAAUCCAUGCAGCUUAAAAACACUGUCCAUGAAGUGUUGAGCCACUCCCAUAGCUGUAAACGGGUGACGCAUGGGAAUAAAGUGGCUGUAUUUAGAAAAUUUGUCUACAACGACCAUAAUACAGUUUGAGUGAUCCGAUGUUGGCAAACCUUCAAUAAAAUCCAUCGUGAUCAUUUUCCAAGCGCCAUCUGGAACUGGUAAAGGUUGGAGGAGUCCAGGGUAUUUUACUCGUUCAACCUUUGCUUGUUGACAGACUGCACAGUGAUUGCACCAGUCUUUGAUCAUCUGUUUCAUACCUGUCCAUCUAAACAUUCUUUUAAUCUUCUGGUAUGUUACCAAAAAUCCUGAAUGUCCUCCAAUAGGGGUGUCAUGGAAUGAGGAAAAUAUUUUCUUCGGAAAUUCUGAUUGAGCCGGCAGCACCACUCUGUCUUUGAACCAAAUCAACCCAUUUUGCAGUCUGUACUGAGCUGAAGGAGUCUGGGCUGCAAGCAUUUUCAGAAGAGGAGCAGUAUCCGAGUGGCUCGAGUAAGAAUCUGCGACAGUAAACAGCCAGGUAGGUUGCACCGUUGUGAUGGAAUAUAAAUGAUCACCAGGAAGACGCGAUAGAGCAUCAGCCACCCGGUUUGUGUGUCCCUGUUUAUAGCAGAUCUUAUAUCGCAGACCGAGUAAUUUAGUCAAAGCUUUUUGUUGCCACGGGGUCGUCAAACGUUGGUCAUCUAGAUGAAUUAAGCUGCGCUGGUCCGUGCGAAUGAUAAAUUCACUGCAGAUGAGGUAAGAUCUCCAGUGUUCCACUGCCAUCAGGAUUGCCAAACAUUCCUUCUCAUAAGUUGACAAGGCUUGAUGACGAGGGCCCAAGGCCUUGCUAACAAACGCGAUGGGGUGACCUGCUUGAUGUAAAACUGCUCCGAUGCCCUUGUCGCUAGCAUCGGUUUCAAUCUCAAAUUGUUGAGAGAAGUCAGGUAGAGCGAGCACCGGUGCGUUGAUCAGCGCUUGUUUCAAGGCAUUAAAAGCUUGUUCAUGUUCAGAAUGCCAUACAAACAGCUGUCCCUUUUUUAGCAGAUUGGUCAGUGGUCGGCUGAGAAUUCCGAAGUUAGCUACAAACUUCCUAUAGUAACCCGCUAGACCCAGAAAGCUUCGUAUCUCUUUGGCUGAUCGAGGAGAUGGCCAUGAUUUGAUGACCGACACUUUUCCAGGAUCUGUAGCCACCCCAUUUUGGCUAAUCACAUGACCUAGGUAAUGAAGUUGUGUUUUAGCAAAAGAACACUUUGAGAGGUUCACUUUAAAAUGAUGUUGGUCCAAUGUAGCAAACACUGCUCGGAGUUGAUGUAAGUGUGUAGUCCAAUUUGAACUGUAAAUCAAGAUGUCGUCUAUGAACACGACCACACAUUUUCUGAGAAAUGGAGACAAUACUGAAUUCAUGGCUAGUUGGAAAGUUGCUGGACCCCCGGUGACACCAUAAGGCAUCACUUUAUACUCAUAGUGACCAUUGUGAGUUUGAAAAGCUGUUUUGUGAACAUCCUGAGGAUCCAUUUGAAUUUGAUGAUAUCCCGAACUCAAGUCCAAACUUGUAAACCACAAAGCACCCUGAAGCUCAUCCAAAAGUUCAUCAAUUAUUGGCAAUGGGUACUUGUUUUUCACCGUGAGGGCAUUGAGACGUCGGUAAUCGACAUAGAGUCUCCAAUCCCCUGUCUUUUUGCGAGCUAGGAUGAUAGGAGAAGCAAAGGGACUGCUACUCGGUUGAAUCAUCCCCGACUUGAGAAGGUCUGCAACCUGUCGCUCAAUUUCAUCCUUUUGGGCAGGAUUAUAGCGGUAGGGACGUAACCGGAACGGUGUUGCUCCUUGAAUAAGAGGAAUGGAAUGGCAAUGAGAUCUGGGAGGAGGAAGUCCACAUGGUUUAUCGAACAAAGAGGCAAAUUCCUGAAUUAAACUCUGAAUUUCAACUGGGAGCUCAUCCUGGGGUGGUGUUUGAUCAAGUUGAUUGACAGUUUGCAAGUGGAGAACACACCAUAAUUGUUCUUGUUGCUGUAGAUGAAACAGUUGAGGAACUGAGAUAUGUGUCAGAUUGGAAUUGUCUGAACGCAAUCCCUGUAGCACCACUUCCUUACCAUUACUCUGGAAUGUCAACCACUUAUGUUGCCAGUGAAUAUACAUGGGACUAUGUGAAGAUAACCAGUCCAUACCCAAUAUAAUAUCAUAGCAGUUCAAAGGCAGAACUUUGAGAUCAAUAUAGAAACAGUGACCUUGCAGUUGUACUUUGCACUGGGGCAAUUCAUGAGUACAAGAGAUAACUUGUCCAUUAGCGACACGAACUUGGACAGGUGUCGGUAAAGGAAUCAGAUUAGGGUGCGAAUUAGCCAAUCUGUCCGAGAUGAAAGAAGACGAACUUCCAGAAUCAACCAACAUAAUCACCUUCUUAGUGAAAAUGGAAGCGAGCAAUUUAACUGUUUGUGGAGCCUCAGUACCUAGGACAGCAUUCACUGACAAAAACAUGAAAUCUUCUCCAGAAUCCUCUUGAAGGGAUGAUUGCUCAUUUUCGGCCUCAGUUGAGCCGACCAAUUGCCAUAGUUCUUCCACCAUGUGUAGAGGUACAGUGGGGCUGCACUUGUGGGCUCGAUUCCAUCUUAAGCCACAUUUAUAACAUAGACCUUUAGCUCGACGGUAAGCCAUCAGGGCUGCUGCUUUACUCUGAUCGGACUGCUGUUUGGGAUAAUCUGGCAUACCAUGCUUCUCAGAACCACCAGUUCGACUGUUCACUUCUGGCAUUGACAGGGGUGGCGAGGUGGUAUACUGAGAACGAUUGGGCUGCUUUGAUGCUGCUUGUUCAGGCCCUUUUUGAUGGUUAGACUUGAUGUGUGGUGUCAACAAUUCUUCCUGCAAUAAGGCGAGAGAAACAGCAGUAUCCAAAUCCAAAGGUCGAUGAAUGAAAACAACUUGUUUAAUAUCUGAACGUAAGCCAUCUACGAAACGAUUAACAAUUGUCGAGAUACUGAAAAGGCGGUCAUGGGCUAAAAUCUGAUGCAUCAAAGAAUCAAACUGGUCCACAUACUCAGACACACUAUCAAGCUGUCGAAUAUGGAAGAAUUGACGGAUAAGGUGGUUGUGAUGAUCCCUCUCAAAACGAGCACACACUGCAGAACAUAAUUCUUGCCAGGAAGGGGGGCGAGCAGUUGGAUCAACCGACUGCCACCAAAAGGCUGUUGAUCCCACAAAGUGCAUGGAGGCUAUUUUGACCCAAAGAUGAUUAGGGAUACUAAACACAUCAAAAUAAGACUCACACUUGGCUUUCCACAUCUUAGGGUGAUGGCCAUCAAAUUGGGGAAAGCUAAUUUGUGGUAAUGAUGCAGCUAAGUGGGCGGUGUAAGAAGACAACAAAGGAUCUACAAAAUGUUCAGCAGCUGGUAUAGCAGACUCAGAGUUGGGAUGGAUCUGGUUAAUACCUGUGACCGGAGGUGGGGUCAAGGUGGUGACCACCCCGAACCCAUCACCCCGGUGAUGUUGAGCAGAACGGUGGCCGUAGCCGUCGUAAGCCACCCUGUGGAUGUAUGGAGGUGUGUUGGAUCCGCCAGGUUCCAGAGGAAUAUUGUCGAACACCUUAGGGGCAGGGUGAACAACAUCACGCCUCGUCACCAAUUCAUCCACCUUGGUCGAGAGGUUGCCCACCUCCAUGCGUAGAUGAGAAACUUCUGCUUCGAUGGUAGGUUUCCAUGUGGACAGAUCACGUACCGCCGCCGUGUUCUCAUCCAGCGCCGACUUGAUUGAGUCAUUUUGCAGCUGCAGCGCUUGAAGAAGAGCCGUCAAAUCCGCGACAUGCUUCUCCAUGGCUUCGGAUUGCUGCUGCCCUCUGGUCUUGUACUGCGGCCGCUUCAGAUAAUCCGGCAAGUCCGCCAGGAUCGAAGAGGAAUCUGAUACCACUUGUGACAGUAUGGAUGUUGAGAUCGCGAACACCGCUCCCGGUGUUCUCCUCCUCUCACGAAGAUCGAAUUUAGGUAGAGAAUUCAGAGUAGGGUAUUACAACGACAGAGCGUCGCCUUCCUUCCGGUCGCAGCCGGCCAAAUGGUGUCUUCCGACAUAACCCUCUCCACGCAGUGUUGCACCCCCUCAAAUACCAACAGCGUAUCUCUCAGGAAAAUUAAGAAACGAAACCACUACUGGGUCCAUUUUGGCCCACUCACUCUAUCAUUGGGCUUUCGAAUUCUCUGCGGCCUUCCUUCCAAGUUAGGAUCCUCUGGUAUUGUGACA